Molecule: ribosomal RNA, 3025 nt
Filed under: Salmonella enterica subsp. enterica serovar Krefeld
Lineage: Bacteria; Pseudomonadati; Pseudomonadota; Gammaproteobacteria; Enterobacterales; Enterobacteriaceae
Also listed under: 1 other name
Description: 23S ribosomal RNA
Rfam family: Bacterial large subunit ribosomal RNA
Source: RNAcentral
GGGUUGUGAGGUUAAGCGACUAAGCGUACACGGUGGAUGCCCUGGCAGUCAGAGGCGAUGAAGGACGUGCUAAUCUGCGAUAAGCGCCGGUAAGGUGAUAUGAACCGUUAUAACCGGCGAUUUCCGAAUGGGGAAACCCAGUGUGAUUCGUCACACUAUCAUUAACUGAAUCCAUAGGUUAAUGAGGCGAACCGGGGGAACUGAAACAUCUAAGUACCCCGAGGAAAAGAAAUCAACCGAGAUUCCCCCAGUAGCGGCGAGCGAACGGGGAGGAGCCCAGAGCCUGAAUCAGCAUGUGUGUUAGUGGAAGCGUCUGGAAAGGCGCGCGAUACAGGGUGACAGCCCCGUACACAAAAAUGCACAUGCUGUGAGCUCGAUGAGUAGGGCGGGACACGUGGUAUCCUGUCUGAAUAUGGGGGGACCAUCCUCCAAGGCUAAAUACUCCUGACUGACCGAUAGUGAACCAGUACCGUGAGGGAAAGGCGAAAAGAACCCCGGCGAGGGGAGUGAAAAAGAACCUGAAACCGUGUACGUACAAGCAGUGGGAGCCCCACCACUAAGCCAGUGGUGAACUCCACAUACGCAUCCUUUGCUGAGGAUACGGUUAACGGAGCGAAAGCGACGUUCAACCUCAAAAGAAGCAGAGGGGGCUUAGUGGUGGGGUGACUGCGUACCUUUUGUAUAAUGGGUCAGCGACUUAUAUUCUGUAGCAAGGUUAACCGAAUAGGGGAGCCGGAGGGAAACCGAGUCUUAAUUGGGCGUUAAGUUGCAGGGUAUAGACCCGAAACCCGGUGAUCUAGCCAUGGGCAGGUUGAAGGUUGGGUAACACUAACUGGAGGACCGAACCGACUAAUGUUGAAAAAUUAGCGGAUGACCUGUGGCUGGGGGUGAAAGGCCAAUCAAACCGGGAGAUAGCUGGUUCUCCCCGAAAGCUAUUUAGGUAGCGCCUCGUGAAUUCAUCUCCGGGGGUAGAGCACUGUUUCGGCUAGGGGGCCAUCCCGGCUUACCAACCCGAUGCAAACUGCGAAUACCGGAGAAUGUUAUCACGGGAGACACACGGCGGGUGCUAACGUCCGUCGUGAAGAGGGAAACAACCCAGACCGCCAGCUAAGGUCCCAAAGUCAUGGUUAAGUGGGAAACGAUGUGGGAAGGCCCAGACAGCCAGGAUGUUGGCUUAGAAGCAGCCAUCAUUUAAAGAAAGCGUAAUAGCUCACUGGUCGAGUCGGCCUGCGCGGAAGAUGUAACGGGGCUAAACCAUGCACCGAAGCUGCGGCAGCGACACUGUGUGUUGUUGGGUAGGGGAGCGUUCUGUAAGCCUGUGAAGGUGGCCUGUGAGGGUUGCUGGAGGUAUCAGAAGUGCGAAUGCUGACAUAAGUAACGAUAAAGCGGGUGAAAAGCCCGCUCGCCGGAAGACCAAGGGUUCCUGUCCAACGUUAAUCGGGGCAGGGUGAGUCGACCCCUAAGGCGAGGCCGAAAGGCGUAGUCGAUGGGAAACGGGUUAAUAUUCCCGUACUUGGUGUUACUGCGAAGGGGGGACGGAGAAGGCUAUGUUGGCCGGGCGACGGUUGUCCCGGUUUAAGCGUGUAGGCUGGUUUUCCAGGCAAAUCCGGAAAAUCAAGGCUGAGGCGUGACGACGAGGCACUACGGUGCUGAAGCAACAAAUGCCCUGCUUCCAGGAAAAGCCUCUAAGCAUCAGGUAACAUCAAAUCGUACCCCAAACCGACACAGGUGGUCAGGUAGAGAAUACCAAGGCGCUUGAGAGAACUCGGGUGAAGGAACUAGGCAAAAUGGUGCCGUAACUUCGGGAGAAGGCACGCUGACAUGUAGGUGAAGUGAUUUACUCAUGGAGCUGAAGUCAGUCGAAGAUACCAGCUGGCUGCAACUGUUUAUUAAAAACACAGCACUGUGCAAACACGAAAGUGGACGUAUACGGUGUGACGCCUGCCCGGUGCCGGAAGGUUAAUUGAUGGGGUCAGCGCAAGCGAAGCUCCUGAUCGAAGCCCCGGUAAACGGCGGCCGUAACUAUAACGGUCCUAAGGUAGCGAAAUUCCUUGUCGGGUAAGUUCCGACCUGCACGAAUGGCGUAAUGAUGGCCAGGCUGUCUCCACCCGAGACUCAGUGAAAUUGAACUCGCUGUGAAGAUGCAGUGUACCCGCGGCAAGACGGAAAGACCCCGUGAACCUUUACUAUAGCUUGACACUGAACAUUGAGCCUUGAUGUGUAGGAUAGGUGGGAGGCUUUGAAGUGUGGACGCCAGUCUGCAUGGAGCCGACCUUGAAAUACCACCCUUUAAUGUUUGAUGUUCUAACGUGGACCCGUAAUCCGGGUUGCGGACAGUGUCUGGUGGGUAGUUUGACUGGGGCGGUCUCCUCCUAAAGAGUAACGGAGGAGCACGAAGGUUGGCUAAUCCUGGUCGGACAUCAGGAGGUUAGUGCAAUGGCAUAAGCCAGCUUGACUGCGAGCGUGACGGCGCGAGCAGGUGCGAAAGCAGGUCAUAGUGAUCCGGUGGUUCUGAAUGGAAGGGCCAUCGCUCAACGGAUAAAAGGUACUCCGGGGAUAACAGGCUGAUACCGCCCAAGAGUUCAUAUCGACGGCGGUGUUUGGCACCUCGAUGUCGGCUCAUCACAUCCUGGGGCUGAAGUAGGUCCCAAGGGUAUGGCUGUUCGCCAUUUAAAGUGGUACGCGAGCUGGGUUUAGAACGUCGUGAGACAGUUCGGUCCCUAUCUGCCGUGGGCGCUGGAGAACUGAGGGGGGCUGCUCCUAGUACGAGAGGACCGGAGUGGACGCAUCACUGGUGUUCGGGUUGUCAUGCCAAUGGCACUGCCCGGUAGCUAAAUGCGGAAGAGAUAAGUGCUGAAAGCAUCUAAGCACGAAACUUGCCCCGAGAUGAGUUCUCCCUGAGACUUAGAGUCUCCUGAAGGAACGUUGAAGACGACGACGUUGAUAGGCCGGGUGUGUAAGCGCAGCGAUGCGUUGAGCUAACCGGUACUAAUGAACCGUGAGGCUUAACCUUACAACGCCGAAG